UACAGCCAUAUUACUUUGAAGCACUGAUUCUCAUAUGACCAAUGAAAUUAAGCAAUGUUGGGCCUAGUCAGUACUUAGAUGGGUGACCACUUGGGAACACCAGAUGCUGUAAG
This is a non-coding RNA of Acanthosepion pharaonis, 113 nucleotides long. NCBI's taxonomy places the organism in Eukaryota, Metazoa, Mollusca, Cephalopoda, Sepiida, Sepiidae. The record is from the annotation of a GenBank genome assembly.